Molecule: long non-coding RNA, 929 nt
Filed under: Physcomitrium patens
Lineage: Eukaryota; Viridiplantae; Streptophyta; Bryopsida; Funariales; Funariaceae
Description: long non-coding RNA (PPAT_LNC010905)
Source: RNAcentral
AUUUAGUUGGGAUUUGGUUUAGGAUUUAGUUGGGAUUUGGUUUAGGAUUUAGGAUUUGGUUAGAAUUUGAUUUAGGGUUUAGAGUUUGAUUAGGAUUUCAUUUAGGAUUUGGUUAGGGUUUGAUUUAGGAUUUGAUUUAGGAUUUGAUUAGGAUUUGAUUUAGGAUUUAGGAUUUGGUUUAAGGAUUAGAAUUUGGUUAGGAUUUGAUUUAGGGUUAGGAUUUGGUUAGGGUUUGAUUUAGGAUUUAGAAUUUGGUUAGGAUUUGAUUUAGGAUUUGAUUAGAAUUUGGUUUAGGAUUUAGGAUUUGAUUUAAGGUUUAAAGUUUGAUUAAGAUUUGAUUUAGGAUUUGAUUAAGAUUUGAUUUAGGGUUUAGGAUUUGAUUCAAUGUCUAGGAUUUGGUUUAGGAUUUAGGAUUUGAUUUAAGAUUUAAGGUUUAGUUAGGAUUUGAUUUAGGAUUUAGGAUUUUAUUAGGAUUUUUUUAAGGUUUAAAAUUUAAUUAUUUUUGGCCUAAAGUUUGAAUGAAGUCCAAUAGGAUUUUAACUAGGAUUAAAUUAAGAUUGAAUUGAGAUGUAUUUGAGAUAUAUUUGUGAUCAAUUUAAUAUUUCUUUAAGAUUUCUUAUUGUUUCUUUGAAAUUUCUUUGAGGUUUUUUUGAAUUUUAUUAAAGCUUGCUUAGCAUUAUUGUGGUCUAAUUAGAAUUUAGUUAGUAUUCUAUUAGAGUUAGAAAUUUGUUGUUGCAAUUUCUAUUCUACCUUCCAUAGCGAGGUGCCCGGAGCAUUCUCAAGCAAGACUUCACAUAUUACAACAAUAUUCUAAAAAUUUAAGAUAGGAAGAUGCAUGUCAAUGGCUCUUCAACAUAUGACAAUACUUCCAACUAUUUGAGGUAAAUACUAUUAAAGGAAUUAUAUAUAUAAUAAGCUAUUUAAGAGAU